RNAcentral lists this ribosomal RNA (495 nucleotides) under uncultured bacterium. RNAcentral describes it as "bacterial SSU rRNA". It matches the Rfam family "Bacterial small subunit ribosomal RNA", at positions 29 to 518 of the family's 1533-position model. The record is from RNAcentral.
AUGAACGCUAGCGACAGGCCUAACACAUGCAAGUCGAGGGCAGCACAAGGAGCAAUCUGAGGUGGCGACCGGCGCACGGGUGAGUAACACGUAUGCAACCUGCCUGUAAGCGGGGAAUAACCCGUUGAAAGACGGACUAAUACCGCAUAAUACUAAAUUACUGCAUGGUAAUUUAUUUAAACAUUUAUGGCUUACAGAUGGGCAUGCGCAUGAUUAGCUAGUUGGAGAGGUAACGGCUCCCCAAGGCAACGAUCAUUAGGGGUUCUGAGAGGAAGGUCCCCCCACACUGGUACUGAGACACGGACCAGACUCCUACGGGAGGCAGCAGUGAGGAAUAUUGGUCAAUGGACGAGAGUCUGAACCAGCCAAGUCGCGUGCAGGAAGAAUUGUCCUAUGGAUUGUAAACUGCUUUUGCAGGGGAAUAAAGUGCAUCACGUGUGGUGUUUUGUAUGUACUCUGCGAAUAAGGAUCGGCUAACUCCGUGCCAGCCGCCGC